AAGGCAGGCUCCAAAUCUAUCUACUUGACCCAUAGCCAUUACCAAAGAAUCAAGCUUUACUGGGACUUCACUCGCGCUGAGUUCACUCACAACUCAGCUGAGCCAGAGUCAUGUUUCUACAUCGCCAUUGCCUGUAAUGCAAAUCUAGAAUUCUUUCUUGGCGAUCUUUAUACCGAAUUGACUCGGCGAUCUGGGUUAGUCAUGACUCCGCAACUAGCUGAUUAUCAACCGAUUCUGCUG
Molecule: unclassified non-coding RNA, 240 nt
Filed under: Hevea brasiliensis (rubber tree)
Lineage: Eukaryota; Viridiplantae; Streptophyta; Magnoliopsida; Malpighiales; Euphorbiaceae
Source: RNAcentral